GGCCAGUUAUGAUACAAAAAAUAGGCUUUGGUGCCAGAACCAACUCAAGGUCUCAAUAUCUCCUCUGAAUAUGAGGCCAUGCUCUGGAAGGGAAGGUCCCGAAUCAGGGUUGGAAAAAACAGUGCUCUCUCCCCUGAUGCCCUGGAUACCAUUCAGAGGAAACAUCAUUGACUGUGCCUGAAGCUUGCUAGGAGCUAGGAGCUCCACAGAAAUGAUGGAAUGAAGAGCCUUCUGCUAUGCCUGGGAGGAGCCACAGUUGCAGCCAGGGAUUCCCCAGAUCCUUGGGAUAUAUCUUCUGGUUGAAGUCCCCCCAAGGCAGUGGACACAG
Long non-coding RNA from Lutra lutra (Eurasian river otter), 328 nucleotides. RefSeq lists it as uncharacterized. Lineage: Eukaryota; Metazoa; Chordata; Mammalia; Carnivora; Mustelidae. The transcript is spliced from 4 exons. The record is from RefSeq and is a predicted model, not a curated record.